UGAGAGGGAAGCGAUUGGCG
Molecule: unclassified non-coding RNA, 20 nt
Filed under: Chlamydomonas reinhardtii
Lineage: Eukaryota; Viridiplantae; Chlorophyta; Chlorophyceae; Chlamydomonadales; Chlamydomonadaceae
Description: small RNA Cre_2904
Source: RNAcentral